AGCCCCAAAGACGUCCUUCCACGGCCAGCAAAGCAUCCAAGGAUCCCUCGCAGAGGGUGACUGCCACUUUCAGAGCGUUCCUAAGUGAAAACAUGGACCCGGAGUUGGUGCCCCGGCUCUGAGGCCCAGACCCACAGAAGCCAUGCCCAGAUUCAACGACAUCACCAGUGGGCUUCAAUGAUAUCACCAGUGAGCCGUCUGAAAACAAACGGACAAGACCCCAAGUCAGACAUUCUAGAAUACGGUCAGCCUAAAAGCCGUCGAGCAACGAUCUUAUUGGUCACAAAGAUGGAUGAAGUAUUUGAGGCCCACGGAGUCACCGUAGCAGAGCAGGGAAUCUGGGAAGCAGAGAUAGCUCUGUUCGGAGAAAGUCUGCGGGGCCAGCAGCGGGUGUAACAGCUGACCCGCCCUGCUUAUUAGAAUCACCGACUCCAAGAAUCAUCUCCACCGACGGCCAGCCUUUCUGUUUAGCGCCAGGUUGACCCAAGAUGGUCGUGGCCGCUGGGAAACUUUGACUCUUCUUCCUCCCAGGGGCCCCGAGAAAGCCCCUUCGAUGGUGGCGACAGCAGGACGAAGCUGGUGUGAUUUCAGCCUCGGACGCGGACGGGCCGGUGUGACGGCCACGUCCCCGCCGUCGGGGGGUCCCGAUGUCGGACGACGCCCGUAUUGGCCGGCGCGGCUGAGCAACGAAGGUUCACCCGCACGAAUGCACUGGGGGCCAGGGAGGUCCCAGGAGGCGCUUUGUCACACGCAGCUCGCCACGGCCCCCGGCCCUCCCAGAGGGUGCCCCGGAGAAGCUUUCAAAGCAGACAGCCCCUCUGUUAGCAGCUCUCUUCCAGCCGCGGUGGGCGAGGGAAUGAGAGAGGGAACGUCCGAUGAUUACUUCCUUAUGGCCCUCACAUUCUUCAAGUAUAUUCCCUACACCCGCUGGAACGCUGCUGCAUUCUUGAGUCCUUCCUUCCCUCUCAGAGCACUGUCUUGUAUUGACACGCCGCUAAAAGGACACAGGAGCAGGACCGGCCUCCCCUCCCUCCGCGCGCGCCCCUCCUUCGCCAUGGCCGUGCUCUCUCCACGCCCGCCGUGCCUUGUUCUCUUUCUAAGAAUGCAAUAAACAUUUCAGCACGA
This is a long non-coding RNA of Felis catus (domestic cat), 1125 nucleotides long. RefSeq lists it as uncharacterized. The transcript has 2 exons. The record is from RefSeq and is a predicted model, not a curated record. NCBI's taxonomy places the organism in Eukaryota, Metazoa, Chordata, Mammalia, Carnivora, Felidae.